CAAUAGCGUAUAUUAAAGUUGUUGCAGUUAAAAAGCUCGUAGUUGGAUUUCUGGUGGGAGCGAUCGGUCUGGCGCUUAGCGCGAGUACUUACAUCGUCUCCGGCCAUCCUUGGGGAGAGUCUGUCUGGCAUUAGGUUGUCGGGCAGAGGAUCCUCAUCGUUUACUGUGAAAAAAUUAGAGUGUUCAAAGCAGGCUUAUGCCGUUGAAUAUGUUAGCAUGGAAUAAUAAGAUAGGACUUUGGUACUAUUUUGUUGGUUUGCGCACCAAAGUAAUGAUUAAUAGGGACAGUUGGGGGUAUUCGUAUUCCGUUGUCAGAGGUGAAAUUCUUGGAUUUACGGAAGACGAACUACUGCGAAAGCAUUUACCAAGGAUGUUUUCAUUAA
RNAcentral lists this ribosomal RNA (383 nucleotides) under uncultured eukaryote. Its description in RNAcentral is "partial 18S ribosomal RNA". It matches the Rfam family "Eukaryotic small subunit ribosomal RNA", at positions 592 to 976 of the family's 1831-position model. The record is from RNAcentral.